GUGGCUGUAGCUCAGUUGGUUAGAGCGGUCGCUUGUGGAGCGACAGGUCGAGGGUUCGAUUCCCUUCAGCCACCCA
This 76-nucleotide transfer RNA is filed under the name Candidatus Woesebacteria bacterium RIFCSPHIGHO2_01_FULL_44_21. Its description in RNAcentral is "tRNA-His". It matches the Rfam family "tRNA". Rfam says of the family: Transfer RNA (tRNA) molecules are approximately 80 nucleotides in length. Their secondary structure includes four short double-helical elements and three loops (D, anti-codon, and T loops). Lineage: Bacteria; Candidatus Woeseibacteriota. RNAcentral also lists the same sequence under 1 other name. The record is from RNAcentral.